Molecule: long non-coding RNA, 2534 nt
Organism: Triplophysa rosa
Lineage: Eukaryota; Metazoa; Chordata; Actinopteri; Cypriniformes; Nemacheilidae
Exons: 5
Source: RefSeq, a predicted model, not a curated record
GAGAGAGAUCUCGUUCAUGAACGAGAGUGUACAGUACACUGUAGGUCGGUCAUUUAGCAUGUGAGUCUCGUUCAGCAAUCAGCAGAAAGCGGAUGCAAAGCGCAGUUACAGGUUGCCUUUUAAAAUCUGGCAAGGGUCAACAGAUGAAAAUUUGCCUGCUGACACAUCCUGUUGCUGGCGCCACCUGAGGGCGCUAUUUUGCUCUUCUGUUUCUGCCUGUGUUUUAGUCAAGGACUCCAUAUCCCAUCAUGCAUUGUGUCUUGUGAUUGUCAACCAGUUUCACCAGUGUCCUAUUUCCUGUUUGUCCCUGCACAUGUGUAUAUAUAUAUUGCCUUUGCCUUCAGUGCUAAGUUUUCGAUCGUUGUUUAUUUAAUGUUGUGUCUUGUGGUUCUCUUCUGAUCGUGGAGGUACAUGUUACCCUUUUUUGUUUUCUCUUGUGGUUUUGGAUUACUCUGUGGACGUUAUGUUACUCUGUGAACUUUGUUCAAAGGAUUAUACUGCAUUUGGAUCCGCUCCCUGUUUUCCCUUGCCCAGCACGUAACGGAACGAUCGAUCAACAAUGGAUCCAGCAGCCUGUUUGGCCUAUCUUUGCCAAUUCCCUCGAGGACCAUAUCGAGGACUUUAUUGGACAUUGCAUGUUUUUCCAAAUAUCUUGAUUGUGUGUUAAUUGAUCUGUUUUGUUAAUUGAUAAUUAUCAUUGCACAAUCUCCCGUUAUGGUCCUCGGCUCAGUUUAGGUCUAUGCACUUUUAUCUUGUGGUUCCAUCUUCACAGUUGGUGUGGAGGAGGCUUCCUCCGUGGGCUCCAGUGGCCACAUCACGGAGCCUGGCAGACCAAGACUACCACCUUGCACAACUCUGAGGAUUACCAGCCCAGUGUUUGUUGCACCCUCCACUCCUGUAUCUCUCCUCAAGACAGCAGCCACAUAGAGACUGAAGCAACAGCAGCAGCAGCAGUGGUGAUGAUCAAGACACUUGCGAAUGAUAUUGACACCUGUCAUUUAAUCACAGCCCCUCUGACACACAUCAGUUUACAUAAAGUAGGCCAAAAGCAAUGACGUCUUGCCUAUGCUAAUUAGCACUGCUCCACAGAUCAAAUUUUGUCCUGUAUUUCAUAGUAACAAAGUUGGCAACCCUACCGCCACGCCAAGGUCAUCAGCCGCCAUGGACGACUCAGCCGUCUUCCCAGGUGUCAUGGACGAAACUCCAGACUUUCCAGUUUUCACCAUUUUCAAAACUGCUACAAAAUAAUGAAUAAGUCAGAGACAGGUGGUCGAGUGGUUCGUGCUCCGUCAUGUGGCGCCGGUGCGUCCUGGGCGACCCGAGUUCGAAUCCCGGCUCGUGGUCCUUUCCCGAUCCUACCCCCUCUCUCUCAUCCACUUCGCUUCCUGUCCUCUCUGAAAAGAGUCACUCUCUCUGUCAAAUAAAAAGGCAAAAAAACGCCAAAAAUAAAUCUUUAAAAAAAAAUAAUGAAUAUGACUUUUACAAAGCAGGAAUACAGUGAGUUCAUGAUAAUGUUUUACAUUAAAGCAACCAAUAAAAGUUACUUGAGCUAAAAACGGAAUGUAACAAAGCAUAAUUAGAGAUUAAACGAUUACCGGUUUCAGGAUAAGCCACGCUAAAAUAUCCUGACGGUAUCCUGGGGGGGUUGGGGGGGUGGUUGGUGCGAUAGGCUGCUUUAGAAUUUGUAAGUUUUACUUAAUUAAUAUUACAUAUAGGAAUUUAUAGUCUGUUUAAUAUUUAACCUGUGCUUUUCUCUCCUUUAUCUUAAAUGUAUGCUCUCACUGUGCGUGUACGUGAGUAUGUGCGUGCGUUUGUGUUCAUGUUUGUAUAUCCCGGUGGGGACCUAAACCUGAAUACACACCAACACAUGGGGACUCGUGUCACCGUGGGGACCAAAAUUGAGGUCCCCAUGGGCAAAAAAGCUAAUAAAUUGUACAGAACAAUAUUUUUUAAAAAUGUAAAAAGUUUUCUAUGAUCUUUAGGUUUAGGGGAUAGAAUAUACAGUUUGUACAGUAUAAAAAACAUUACGCCUAUGGACUGUCCCCACGGGGAUAGUAAACCAGACGUGUGUGUGAUAGUACGUGUGCAUAUUGUGUGUGUGGAGUGUUUUGUAUGUGGGUAUGUCUGUCUUCUGUGUUUUCACAUUUUUCUUGUUUUUACAGGAACAACUUUAAUUGUUUUGCUUAUAGUCAAUAUGUCUCAUGUACAGAUGCUUUGUAACAAUGAAAAUUGUAAAAAGCGCUAUAUAAAUAAAGUUGAGUUGAGUUGGAAGACAGUGACAGCACUCGGGAGAUUUUUCCGCCAUCUAAAAGGACCAAAUCGGAGGUCCGCCAAGUCAAGUCCCGACUGUAAAUCGCAUUGACACCUAGCGGCAUCAGACAUGGUUGUGUGUGCUCUCCAGUGUGAGUUCUCAUGUCUACAUGAACACACAAGUACGGACACUCUCCAGUGUGAAUUCUCAUGUGGGUCUCAAGACUGAUUUUUUGUAUGAAACUCUUUUCACACUGAGGACAUGUGUACGGGCGCUCUCCGGU